GGGCCGGUAGAUCAGCGGCAGAUCGCCCGGUUUGCACCCGGGAGGUCGCGGGUUCGAGUCCCGCCCGGUCCA
RNAcentral lists this transfer RNA (72 nucleotides) under Nitrososphaerota archaeon. Its description in RNAcentral is "tRNA-Ala". It matches the Rfam family "tRNA". From Rfam's summary of the family: Transfer RNA (tRNA) molecules are approximately 80 nucleotides in length. Their secondary structure includes four short double-helical elements and three loops (D, anti-codon, and T loops). The record is from RNAcentral. Lineage: Archaea; Thermoproteati; Nitrososphaerota. RNAcentral also lists the same sequence under 5 other names.